Molecule: unclassified non-coding RNA, 744 nt
Filed under: uncultured bacterium
Lineage: Bacteria
Description: partial contains 16S ribosomal RNA, 16S-23S ribosomal RNA intergenic spacer, and 23S ribosomal RNA
Rfam family: tRNA (bases 195-268)
Source: RNAcentral
GUAAGAAAAACGAGCGGAACAGAGAAAAUGUAAAACUGACACAAUAAUAGGGCGAGAAUGGGGACCGAGAGACACAUAUUAUCAGAACACAAAGGCGGACCGCAGGGAAUUUGAAUUGCGGCGGGAUCCCCUCCUGUCGAGAGCGGAGCCCUAUCAAGCACUACAGCCUAUAGUUGUUAAAACCAGACAGAUGCGAGUCUGUAGUUCAACAGGCAAGAGCACCGUCAUGAUAAGGCGGGGGUCGUAGGUUAGAACCCAACCAGACCCAUUCAUCUGAAGACGAGUAGAGAGACGAAGGUGGAGCUCUUGAGGGGGGCAUAGGUCAGUUGGGAGAGCGCCUGCAUUGCAAGCAGGAGCUCGUUGGUUCGAUACUGUUGGCCUCCACCAGGAUAUGUUAUCAAAGUGGAGAGGCAUCCAUAUCGCUUUUUAAGGGAAGGCUGUAGAUAUCUAUCACUAGUAGGAAGAAGUAAAGUGUUGGGCAGGAGGAAAGGAUUGGACCAAGGGCUGCGAUUGCAUUAAUCGGCGCCUUUUGCGAACCAGCUACGCCCCCGGAGUCGAGCCGGUUUUGUCGUUUAGGUGUCUAGGCGGGAGUCAUGGGCUGAUUGUAACCGGCUCCCCCCACAUAGUCAAGGCGGUGGCUCUAUCCGGGUAAGCUGCAGACGCAGGUCUGUGUAGCUUAAGCAAAGGAUAGGCGGUAGGUCCUUCAAAGUCCUACGCUCUAGGAAAGGGGGGGAUCCAGCCGCA